ACAAAGGUCCUUUUCAGGGCCACACAUUCCUUCUAAAGACUGUGA
Monodelphis domestica (gray short-tailed opossum) is the source of this 45-nucleotide non-coding RNA. NCBI's taxonomy places the organism in Eukaryota, Metazoa, Chordata, Mammalia, Didelphimorphia, Didelphidae. The record is from Rfam.